RNAcentral lists this ribosomal RNA (332 nucleotides) under uncultured bacterium. Its description in RNAcentral is "bacterial SSU rRNA". It matches the Rfam family "Bacterial small subunit ribosomal RNA", at positions 568 to 898 of the family's 1533-position model. The record is from RNAcentral.
CGUGUAGGCGGGGUCGCAGGUCAGAUGUGAAAUCCCAAGGCUUAACCUUGGAACUGCAUUUGAAACCGCGGCUCUUGAGUGUCGGAGAGGAAAGCGGAAUUCCUAGUGUAGCGGUGAAAUGCGUAGAUAUUAGGAGGAACACCAGUGGCGAAGGCGGCUUUCUGGACGAUAACUGACGCUGAGGCGCGAAAGCGUGGGGAGCAAACAGGAUUAGAUACCCUGGUAGUCCACGCUGUAAACGAUGAAUACUAGGUGUAGGGGGUAUCGACCCCCCCUGUGCCGCAGUUAACACAAUAAGUAUUCCACCUGGGGAGUACGACCGCAAGGUUGAA